UAAAUCGAGUUUAAAAAUACCUCUUCGGUUGACCAUGGACAGUGCGAUCGCAUGCCAAAAUUUGUGUGCAAGCUAAACACAGCCAACUUCGCAAAGAGAGGUAGUUUUU
Molecule: long non-coding RNA, 109 nt
Organism: Bradysia coprophila
Lineage: Eukaryota; Metazoa; Arthropoda; Insecta; Diptera; Sciaridae
Source: RefSeq, a predicted model, not a curated record